GGUGUGACUGCCACAGGUGUGACUGCCACAGGUGUGCCCAGGUGUGACUGAAUGAUACAGGUGUGCUCAGGUGUGUGAGGGAUCCAGGUGUGAGCGGUACAAGCUCAAGGAGUGCUCCAAGUCCAUGGACGAGAGCCGGCUGGACCGGGUAGGGCAGGUGUGACUGCCACAGGUGUGACUGGGACAGGUGUGAGUGACCCAGGUGUGACUGGGACAGGUGUGAGUGACCCAGGUGUGCCCAGGUGUGUGAUUGGUACACGUGUGUGACUGGUACAGGUGUGUGAGGGAUCCAGGUGUGAGGGCUACAAGCUCAAGGAGUGCUCCAAGUCCAUGGACGAGAGCCGGCUGGACCAGGCAGGGACUCAGGUGUGAGUGCACAGGUGUGCCCAGGUGUGUGAGUGAUACAGGUGUGCCCAGGUGUGACUGAAUGAUACAGGUGUGCUCAGGUGUGUGACUGGUACAGGUGUGUGACUGGUACAGGUGUGUGACUGGUACAGGUGUGUGAGGGAUCCAGGUGUGAGGGGUACAAGCUCAAGGAGUGCUCCAAGUCCAUGGACGAGAGCCGGCUGGACCGGGUAGGGCAGGUGUGACUGCCACAGGUGUGACUGCCACAGGUGUGACUGAAUGAUACAGGUGUGAUCAGGUGUGUGAGUGGUACAGGUGUGUGAGGGAUCCAGGUGUGAGGAGUACAAGCUCAAGGAGUACUCAAAGUCCAUGGAUGAGAUCCGGCUGGACCGGGUAGGGCAGGUGUGACUGUCACAGGUGUGACUGGGACAGGUAUGACUGAAUGAUACAGGUGUGCCCAGGUGUGUGACUGGUACAGGUGUGUGAGGGAUCCAGGUGUGAGCGGUACAAGCUCAAGGAGUGCUCCAAGUCCAUGGACGAGAGCCGGCUGGACCGGGUGAAGGAGUACGAGGAGGAGAUCCACUUGCUGAAGGAGCGGCUGCACAGGCACAGGGGGGUGUGACAGGUGUGCCCAUAGCUGUGCCCAGGUGUGACAGGUGUGCCCAUAGCAGGGUUGUAGCUGUACCCAGCUGUGCCCAGGUGUGACAGGUGUGCCCGUAGCUGUGCCCAGGUGUGACAGGUGUGCCCAUAGCAGGGUUGUAGCUGUACCCAGCUGUGCCCAGGUGUGACAGGUGUGACAGGUGUGCCCAUAGCUGUGCCCAGGUGCGACAGGUGCGCCCAUAGCGGGGUGUAGAGGUUCCCAUGUGUGACAGGUGUGUCCGUAGCUGUGCCCAAGUGUGGCCAGGUGUGACAGGUAUGCCUGUAGCAGGGUUGUAGAUGUACCCAGGUGUGCCCAGGUGUGCCCAGGUGUGGCUAGGGCCCUGCAGUGUCCCUUUGGCAGGUGAAGGAGUACGAGGAGGAGAUCCACUCGCUGAAGGAGCGGCUGCACAGGGACAGGGGGGUGGCAGGUGUGACAGGUGUGCCCAUAGCAGUGCCCAGGUGUGACAGGUGUGCCAGGUGUGCCCAUAGCAGGGUUGUAGCUGUGCCCAGGUGUAACAGGUGUGCCCAUAGCUGUGCCCAGGUGUGACAGGUGUGCCCAUAGCUGUGCCCAGGUGCGACAGGUGCGCCCAUAGCGGGGUGUAGAGGUUCCCAUGUGUGACAGGUGUGCCCGUAGCUGUGCCCAGGUGUGGCCAGGUGUGACAGGUAUGCCUGUAGCAGGGUUGUAGAUGUACCCAGGUGUGCCCAGGUGUGCCCAGGUGUGUCCAGGGCUCUGCAGUGUCCCUUUGGCAGGUGAAGGAGUACGAGGAGGAGAUCCACUCGCUGAAGGAGCGGCUGCACAGGCACAGGGGGGUGUGACAGGUGUGCCCAUAGCUGUGCCCAGGUGUGACAGGUGUGACAGGUGUGCCCAUAGCUGUACCCAGAGUUACCCAGGUGUGCCCAGGCGUGGCCAGGGCCCUGCAGUGUCCCUUUGGCAGGUGAAGGAGUACGAGGAGGAGAUCCACUCGCUGAAGGAGCGGCUGCACAGGCACAGGGGGGUGUGACAGGUGUGCCCAUAGCUGUGCCCAGGUGUGACAGGUGUGCCCAUAGCAGCGUUGUAGCUGUACCCAGCUGUGCCCAGGUGUGACAGGUGUGCCCAUAGCGGGGUGCAGAGGGUUCCAGGUGUGCCCAGGUGUGCCCAGGUGUGCCCAGGUGCGGCCAGGGCCCUGCAGUGUCCCU
Long non-coding RNA from Melospiza melodia melodia, 2160 nucleotides. RefSeq lists it as uncharacterized. Lineage: Eukaryota; Metazoa; Chordata; Aves; Passeriformes; Passerellidae. The record is from RefSeq and is a predicted model, not a curated record. The transcript is spliced from 3 exons.